UACAAAUAUAGGGUUAAAACCCCCAAAAUUUUAGCCAAAAUCCGACCAAAAGUGGAGAAACCUUUUGGUUUCUCCCUUUUCCGAUCGAGCCUUCGACGAAUCCCAAGGGAUUCGAAGCCCUCUCAAGUCGGAAAAGAGGAUCCUUACGAUGGAGGCGCGGCAAAACGAGUAUCCAUGGCGAGGGGCUGAGUCAACGGUGGUGAAGAAGCACGCCCUUGCCAUUUUGGUGAAAUGGUGGCAGAGGAGGCAGACCUCGGGGCGAGGGGACUUCGAGAAGCAUGCCUACUGACGUGGCGAAGCAGGGGAGCGGCAACGGCAAGGGUUAGGUUUUUUUCUUAGGGUUUCUGAAAAUUGUUUAAGUUUUGGACUUUAGGCUAGGUUUGGGCUUGUAAUUUAGGCCAUUUAUUUUUUUUUUGUAAAUGGACUUUAUUUAUUUUA
Long non-coding RNA from Gossypium arboreum, 438 nucleotides. RefSeq lists it as uncharacterized. NCBI's taxonomy places the organism in Eukaryota, Viridiplantae, Streptophyta, Magnoliopsida, Malvales, Malvaceae. The record is from RefSeq and is a predicted model, not a curated record. The transcript is spliced from 2 exons.